Molecule: non-coding RNA, 28 nt
Filed under: Homo sapiens (human)
Lineage: Eukaryota; Metazoa; Chordata; Mammalia; Primates; Hominidae
Source: RNAcentral
UGAGAUGUACAGUUCCUCCAGCAAGUGA